GAUGAACGCUGGCGGCGUGCCUAAUACAUGCAAGUCGAGCGAACAGACGAGGAGCUUGCUCCUCUGACGUUAGCGGCGGACGGGUGAGUAACACGUGGAUAACCUACCUAUAAGACUGGGAUAACUUCGGGAAACCGGAGCUAAUACCGGAUAAUAUAUUGAACCGCAUGGUUCAAUAGCGAAAGACGGUUUUGCUGUCACUUAUAGAUGGAUCCGCGCCGCAUUAGCUAGUUGGUAAGGUAACGGCUUACCAAGGCAACGAUGCGUAGCCGACCUGAGAGGGUGAUAGGCCACACUGGAACUGAGACACGGUCAAGACUCCUACGGGAGGCAGCAGUAGGGAAUCUUCCGCAAUGGGCGAAAGCCUGACGGAGCAACGCCGCGUGAGUGAUGAAGGUCUUCGGAUCGUAAAACUCUGUUAUUAGGGAAGAACAAAUGUGUAAGUAACUAUGCACGUCUUGACGGUACCUAAUCAGAAAGCCACGGCUAACUACGUG
RNAcentral lists this ribosomal RNA (497 nucleotides) under uncultured bacterium. RNAcentral's name for it is "partial 16S ribosomal RNA". It matches the Rfam family "Bacterial small subunit ribosomal RNA", at positions 28 to 507 of the family's 1533-position model. The record is from RNAcentral.